ACUCAAAUGAAUAGACGGGGGCCCGCACAAGCGGUGGAGCAUGUGGUUUAAUUCGAUGCAACGCGAAAAACCUUACCUACCCUUGACAUCCUCAGAACUUGUUAGAGAUAACUUGGUGCCUUCGGGAACUGAGAGACAGGUGCUGCAUGGCUGUCGUCAGCUCGUGUCGUGAGAUGUUGGGUUAAGUCCCUUAACGAGCGCAACCCUCGUCCUUAGUUGCCACCCCUUACGGGAGCACUCUAAGGAGACUGCCGGUGAUAAACCGGAGGAAGGUGGGGAUGAUGUCAAGUCAUCAUGGCCCUUACGGGUAGGGCUACACACGUGCUACAAUGGGCAGUACAGAGGGUUGCUAAGUCGCAAGAUGGAGCUAAUCCCCUAAAGCUGCUCUCAGUCCGGAUUGGAGUCUGCAACUCGACUCCAUGAAGUUGGAAUCGCUAGUAAUCGCGAAUCAGCAUGUCGCGGUGAAUACGUUCUCGGGCCUUGUACACACCGCCCGU
This 497-nucleotide ribosomal RNA is filed under the name uncultured bacterium. RNAcentral describes it as "partial 16S ribosomal RNA". It matches the Rfam family "Bacterial small subunit ribosomal RNA", at positions 899 to 1397 of the family's 1533-position model. The record is from RNAcentral.